This 600-nucleotide ribosomal RNA is filed under the name uncultured bacterium. RNAcentral's name for it is "bacterial SSU rRNA". It matches the Rfam family "Bacterial small subunit ribosomal RNA", at positions 879 to 1482 of the family's 1533-position model. The record is from RNAcentral.
AGUACGAUCGCAAGAUUAAAACUCAAAGGAAUUGACGGGGCCCCGCACAAGCAGCGGAGCAUGCGGCUUAAUUCGACGCAACGCGAAGAACCUUACCAAGGCUUGACAUAUACAGGAAUACGGCAGAGAUGUCGUAGCCGCAAGGUCUGUAUACAGGUGGUGCAUGGUUGUCGUCAGCUCGUGUCGUGAGAUGUUGGGUUAAGUCCCGCAACGAGCGCAACCCUCGUUCUGUGUUGCCGGCAUUUAGUUGGGGACUCACAGGAGACUGCCGGGGUUAACUCGGAGGAAGGUGGGGAUGACGUCAAAUCAUCAUGCCCCUUAUGUCUUGGGCUGCACGCAUGCUACAAUGGCUGGUACAAACGGCUGCGAUACCGCAAGGUGGAGCGAAUCCGAGAAAGCCAGUCUCAGUUCGGAUUGGGGUCUGCAACUCGACCCCAUGAAGUCGGAGUUGCUAGUAAUCGUAGAUCAGCAACGCUACGGUGAAUACGUUCCCGGGGCUUGUACACACCGCCCGUCACAUCACGAAAGUCGGUAACACCCAAAGUCAGUGGCCCAACCGCAAGGAGGGAGCUGCCAAAGGUGGGAUCGGUGAUUGGGAUG